AGGGUGAAGCGGGCAGCCAUGGCGCGGGCGGGCCUUCAAGGCUCCGAGAGUCCCCUCAGAACUCUGGGCGCCCCCUCAGGGCGGCGAGAGUCCCCUCAGAGCUCUGGGCGCCCCCUCAGGGCGGCAAGAGGCCCCUCAGAACUCUGGGCGUCCCCUCAGGGCGGCGAGAGGCCCCUCAGAACUCUGGGCGUCCCUUCAAGGCUCCGAGAGUCCCCUCAGAGCUCUGGGCGCCCCCUCAGGGCGGCGAGAGGCCCCUCAGAACUCUGGGCGUCCCUUCAGGGCGGCGAGAGGCCCCUCAGAGCUCCGGGAGACUCCUCAGAGCUCCGAGAGUCCCCUCACGGCGGCUGAGGUAGGCUGGUGGUGCCGUUCUGAACCCCAGCCCCGCCGGGCUAGCUGCGGCCUGGGUGGGUGGGUCGCCUUGGGAAAACCCUGCGUUGGGAGCUCUGUAAGUCUUGGUCCAGUUCCGAGAAGAAAAUCGUCCCGCCUUGAAUUGCAACCGCUAGUUUAUUUAGGGCAAGUCGAAGUAGUGAUGUUGAGGUAGACGGUUAUUAAAAAUGUUGUCAGAGUGUAAGUUGGGGCUUCUUCAAGCACUGAAACCUUUGACCGCUUCCAAGGAGGCGUGUAGAAAGAUCUGAGGGGUUUUAUCCUUUUUAGGAAUCCUGUUCUGCUGCCUCAAAUGAGAAUGAAGUAGGAGAAGCUCAGAUCAGAAUGUGCGUGACUGCUUCAGACCUGCAGCAGUAGCUGCCCUGGUCCCUCUGCCCCUUCGCACAAUGUGGUCAGAUCCAGUGCUGGAAAUGGUGAGAGAAGAGGGGAGAAAAGGCCAGAAAAGGAGAGCUGAAAAUUGACCCGAUUUAAAACUCACUGUAACUUCAACUGAAUUAAGUGUUAAAAUGUAACUCUUGUUUUUCAAUAAAAUGGUAAAAAAUAUGUCAAA
Long non-coding RNA from Tyto alba (common barn owl), 934 nucleotides. RefSeq lists it as uncharacterized. Lineage: Eukaryota; Metazoa; Chordata; Aves; Strigiformes; Tytonidae. The record is from RefSeq and is a predicted model, not a curated record. The transcript is spliced from 2 exons.